AGAACGAACGCUGGCGGCAGGCCUCAAACAUGCAAGUCUAGGGGGUGUAGCAAUACAUCACCGGCGGACGGGUGCGUAACGCGUGGGAAUGUACCUAUGGUGGGGGGUAACACAGGGAAACUUGUGCUAAUACCGCAUAAUAUGCUGUCUUUUAAGAGAGAGACAUCAAAGCCGGGGACCGCAAGGCCUGGCGCUUGAAGAGGGGCCCGCGCCUGAUUAGCUAGUUGGUGGGGUAAUGGCUCACCAAGGCAACGAUCAGUAUCCGGCCUGAGAGGGCGGACGGACACACUGGGACUGAGACACGGCCCAGACUCCUACGGGAGGCAGCAGUGGGGAAUUGUUCGCAAUGGGCGCAAGCCUGACGACGCAACGCCGCGUGGAGGAUGAAGAUCUUCGGGUCGUAAACUCCUUUCGAUCGAGACGAAUGGCCCUUGGGAUAAUACCCUGAGGGAGUGACGGUACCGAGAGAAGAAGCCCCGGCUAACUCCGUG
This 491-nucleotide ribosomal RNA is filed under the name uncultured bacterium. Its description in RNAcentral is "bacterial SSU rRNA". It matches the Rfam family "Bacterial small subunit ribosomal RNA", at positions 26 to 507 of the family's 1533-position model. The record is from RNAcentral.